AGCAGCCGCGGUAAUUCCAGCUCCAAUAGCGUAUAUUAAAGUUGUUGCAGUUAAAAAGCUCGUAGUUGAAUUUCGGGGUUAGUAGGUUGGUCAUGCCUCUGGUAUGUACUGGUCUCACUGAUUCCUCCUUCCUUAUGAACCGUGAUGCCAUUAAUUUGGUGUUGCGGGAAAUUUGGACUGUUACUUUGAAAAAUUAGAGUGUUUAAAGCAAGCUAACGCUUGAAUACAUUAGCAUGGAAUAAUGAAAUAGGACGUUCGAUCUUAUUUUGUUGGUUUCUAGGAUUGACGUAAUGAUUAAUAGGGAUAGUUGGGGGCAUUAGUAUUCAAUUGUCAGAGGUGAAAUUCUUGGAUUUAUUGAAGACUAACUACUGCGAAAGCAUUUGCCAAGGAUGUUUUCAUUAAUCAAGAACGAAAGUUAGGGGAUCGAAGACGAUCAGAUACCGUCGUAGUCUUAACCAUAAACUAUGCCGACUAGGGAUCGGAUGAUGUUAAUUUUUAAUAACUCAUUCGGCGCCUUACG
This 520-nucleotide ribosomal RNA is filed under the name uncultured Glomus. Its description in RNAcentral is "SSU rRNA". It matches the Rfam family "Eukaryotic small subunit ribosomal RNA", at positions 569 to 1092 of the family's 1831-position model. Lineage: Eukaryota; Fungi; Glomeromycota; Glomeromycetes; Glomerales; Glomeraceae. The record is from RNAcentral.